UCUUUUAAUUGAAGGCUUGUAUGAAUGGUUGGACGAGACAUUAACUGUUUCAAGUUAAAAUAUUAGAAUUUUAUUUUUUAGUCAAAAAGCUAAAAUUUUAUUAAAAGACGAGAAGACCCUAUAGAUCUUUAUAAAUUAUAAAUUAAAUUUAUAUAGAAAAUUUAAAGUUUAAUUUAAAAAUUUAUUUUAUUGGGGUGAUAAUAAGAUUUAAAUAACUCUUAUAUUUUUAUACAUAAAUUAAUGAUUAAUUGAUCCAUUAUUAGUGAUUAUUAGAUUAAGUUACCUUAGGGAUAACAGCGUAAUUUUUUUAGAGAGUUCAUAUCGAUAAAAAAGAUUGC
RNAcentral lists this ribosomal RNA (338 nucleotides) under Chloromyia formosa. RNAcentral describes it as "partial 16S ribosomal RNA". The record is from RNAcentral. Lineage: Eukaryota; Metazoa; Arthropoda; Insecta; Diptera; Stratiomyidae.